RNAcentral lists this transfer RNA (64 nucleotides) under uncultured Mobiluncus sp. It matches the Rfam family "tRNA", at positions 2 to 63 of the family's 71-position model. Rfam says of the family: Transfer RNA (tRNA) molecules are approximately 80 nucleotides in length. Their secondary structure includes four short double-helical elements and three loops (D, anti-codon, and T loops). The record is from RNAcentral. Lineage: Bacteria; Bacillati; Actinomycetota; Actinomycetes; Actinomycetales; Actinomycetaceae.
CGGAUGUGGCUCAGUUGGUAGAGCAUCACCUUGCCAAGGUGAGGGUCGCGGGUUCGAGUCCCGU